CUCCUCCUCUUUUUCCUCUACAGUCACAGGGCAGGCAUCAGCCAAUAGAUCAGCCAAGGGCAGGAAACGGCCGGGGUCAGAGGGGACGCUGAGAGCGCACGUGUGUGAUGAUAAGACUAACAGCCACCCGAAAGCUGCACCACAGCUAUGGGACCUUCAGGCUGGGCCCAAUCACCUGCGACCAACAAAGAAAAUCACUCUGACCAAAAACUGAUAGAGUCAUCUUACCUUAUCUUCUAUGACUGCUUCAGCAUCUUGCCUGUUAUUGCUAUGGCUUCUAUCAAUAGGCAGUUAAUAUUACCAAACACUUGUCACCACAGGACAGUGUUUGGGUGUAUUUGGUUUGUCAUUUUUAUCCAGUGGCCUGGAUCAGGGAAUCCACCAACACCAGGAAAGAAGCUGGAGUCGUGCUCUUAAAGCACCAGCAGUGCACUGGUCAUCAUUGAGUACCAUGUAUGAUUGUUAUACUCG
This is a long non-coding RNA of Astatotilapia calliptera (eastern happy), 471 nucleotides long. NCBI's taxonomy places the organism in Eukaryota, Metazoa, Chordata, Actinopteri, Cichliformes, Cichlidae. The record is from Ensembl.